This 194-nucleotide ribosomal RNA is filed under the name Buchnera aphidicola (Myzus persicae). Its description in RNAcentral is "partial 16S ribosomal RNA". It matches the Rfam family "Bacterial small subunit ribosomal RNA", at positions 338 to 524 of the family's 1533-position model. The record is from RNAcentral. Lineage: Bacteria; Pseudomonadati; Pseudomonadota; Gammaproteobacteria; Enterobacterales; Erwiniaceae.
CCUACGGGAGGCAGCAGCGGGGAAUAUUGCACAAUGGGCGAAAGCCUGAUGCAGCUAUGCCGCGUGUAUGAAGAAGGCCUUAGGGUUGUAAAGUACUUUCAGCAGGGAGGAAAGAAAUAAAACUAAUAAUUUUAUUUUGUGACGUUACCUGAAGAAGAAGCACCGGCUAACUCCGUGCCAGCAGCCGCGGUAAU